UGGGGAAUCUUCCGCAAUGGACGAAAGUCUGACGGAGCAACGCCGCGUGAGUGAAGACGGCCUUCGGGUUGUAAAGCUCUGUGAUCCGGGACGAAAGAGCCUGAGGUAAAUAGCCUAAGGAAGUGACGGUACCGGAAAAGCAAGCCACGGCUAACUACGUGCCAGCAGCCGCGGUAAUACGUAGGUGGCAAGCGUUGUCCGGAAUUAUUGGGCGUAAAGCGCGCGCAGGCGGCUUCCUAAGUCCAUCUUAAAAGUGCGGGGCUUAACCCCGUGAUGGGAUGGAAACUGGGAAGCUGGAGUAUCGGAGAGGAAAGUGGAAUUCCUAGUGUAGCGGUGAAAUGCGUAGAGAUUAGGAAGAACACCGGUGGCGCAGGCGACUUUCUGGACGAAAACUGACGCUGAGGCGCGAAAGCGUGGGGAGCAAACAGG
Molecule: ribosomal RNA, 429 nt
Filed under: Fusobacteriota bacterium
Lineage: Bacteria; Fusobacteriati; Fusobacteriota
Description: Fusobacteria bacterium partial 16S ribosomal RNA
Rfam family: Bacterial small subunit ribosomal RNA
Source: RNAcentral